AUUGAACGCUGGCGGCAUGCUUUACACAUGCAAGUCGAACGGCAGCGUGGGCUUCGGCCUGGCGGCGAGUGGCGAACGGGUGAGUAAUACAUCGGAACGUGCCCAGUAGUGGGGGAUAGCUCGGCGAAAGCCGGAUUAAUACCGCAUACGACCUGAGGGUGAAAGCGGGGGAUCUUCGGACCUCGCGCUAUUGGAGCGGCCGAUGGCAGAUUAGCUAGUUGGUGGGGUAAAGGCCUACCAAGGCGACGAUCUGUAGCUGGUCUGAGAGGACGACCAGCCACACGGGGACUGAGACACGGCCCAGACUCCUACGGGAGGCAGCAGUGGGGAAUUUUGGACAAUGGGCGAAAGCCUGAUCCAGCAAUGCCGCGUGUGUGAUGAAGGCCUUCGGGUUGUAAAGCACUUUUGGCGGGAACGAAAAGGACUGUGCCAAUACCACGGUUCGAUGACGGUACCCGCAGAAUAAGCACCGGCUAACUACGUG
RNAcentral lists this ribosomal RNA (484 nucleotides) under uncultured bacterium. Its description in RNAcentral is "partial 16S ribosomal RNA". It matches the Rfam family "Bacterial small subunit ribosomal RNA", at positions 29 to 507 of the family's 1533-position model. The record is from RNAcentral.